RNAcentral lists this long non-coding RNA (204 nucleotides) under Mytilus galloprovincialis (Mediterranean mussel). Lineage: Eukaryota; Metazoa; Mollusca; Bivalvia; Mytilida; Mytilidae. The record is from RNAcentral.
AACAAUACUGUUUUUGGCUUGAAUUCAAUGAAGUUGGUUGGUUUUGUGAGUGUAAGGCGGGUGCCCGAACUGUGGGAUGUUAUGUCCAUGUAGCUACGAUAUUGUGAUACAUGGGACAUGCCAGACAUACAGAUAAUAAAACAAAGACAAACAGAUAUUCCAAUGCAUUCAAAGAUGCCAGUGUAGACAUUGAAACAGAGACCG